GAUGAACGCUGGCGGCGUGCCUAAUACAUGCAAGUCGAGCGAACGGACGAGAAGCUUGCUUCUCUGACGUUAGCGGCGGACGGGUGAGUAACACGUGGAUAACCUACCUAUAAGACUGGGAUAACUUCGGGAAACCGUAGCUAAUACCGGAUAAUAUUUUGAACCGCAUGGUUCAAUAGUGAAAGACGGUCUUGCUGUCACUUAUAGAUGGAUCCGCGCUGCAUUAGCUAGUUGGUAAGGUAACGGCUUACCAAGGCAACGAUGCAUAGCCGACCUGAGAGGGUGAUCGGCCACACUGGAACUGAGACACGGUCAAGACUCCUACGGGAGGCAGCAGUAGGGAAUCUUCCGCAAUGGGCGAAAGCCUGACGGAGCAACGCCGCGUGAGUGAUGAAGGUCUUCUGAUCGUAAAACUCUGUUAUUAGGGAAGAACAAAUGUGUAAGUAACUGUGCACAUCUUGACGGUACCUAAUCAGAAAGCCACGGCUAACUACGUG
RNAcentral lists this ribosomal RNA (497 nucleotides) under uncultured bacterium. Its description in RNAcentral is "partial 16S ribosomal RNA". It matches the Rfam family "Bacterial small subunit ribosomal RNA", at positions 28 to 507 of the family's 1533-position model. The record is from RNAcentral.